GCCGGCGUGGCGGAAUGGCAGACGCAGUAGACUCAAAAUCUACCGUAGGUAACUAUGUGUGAGUUCAAGUCUCACCGCCGGCA
Molecule: transfer RNA, 83 nt
Filed under: Spirochaetaceae bacterium
Lineage: Bacteria; Pseudomonadati; Spirochaetota; Spirochaetia; Spirochaetales; Spirochaetaceae
Description: tRNA-Leu
Rfam family: tRNA
About the family: Transfer RNA (tRNA) molecules are approximately 80 nucleotides in length. Their secondary structure includes four short double-helical elements and three loops (D, anti-codon, and T loops).
Source: RNAcentral